UUGAACUGAAGAGUUUGAUCAUGGCUCAGAUUGAACGCUGGCGGCAGGCCUAACACAUGCAAGUCGAGCGGCAGCACGGGUACUUGUACCUGGUGGCGAGCGGCGGACGGGUGAGUAAUGCCUAGGAAUCUGCCUAGUAGUGGGGGAUAACGUCCGGAAACGGGCGCUAAUACCGCAUACGUCCUACGGGAGAAAGUGGGGGAUCUUCGGACCUCACGCUAUUAGAUGAGCCUAGGUCGGAUUAGCUAGUUGGUGAGGUAAUGGCUCACCAAGGCGACGAUCCGUAACUGGUCUGAGAGGAUGAUCAGUCACACUGGAACUGAGACACGGUCCAGACUCCUACGGGAGGCAGCAGUGGGGAAUAUUGGACAAUGGGCGAAAGCCUGAUCCAGCCAUGCCGCGUGUGUGAAGAAGGUCUUCGGAUUGUAAAGCACUUUAAGUUGGGAGGAAGGGCAGUUACCUAAUACGUGAUUGUUUUGACGUUACCGACAGAAUAAGCACCGGCUAACUCUGUGCCAGCAGCCGCGGUAAUACAGAGGGUGCAAGCGUUAAUCGGAAUUACUGGGCGUAAAGCGCGCGUAGGUGGUUUGUUAAGUUGGAUGUGAAAGCCCCGGGCUCAACCUGGGAACUGCAUCCAAAACUGGCAAGCUAGAGUAUGGUAGAGGGUGGUGGAAUUUCCUGUGUAGCGGUGAAAUGCGUAGAUAUAGGAAGGAACACCAGUGGCGAAGGCGACCACC
This 737-nucleotide ribosomal RNA is filed under the name Pseudomonas sp. NFPP25. RNAcentral's name for it is "bacterial SSU rRNA". It matches the Rfam family "Bacterial small subunit ribosomal RNA", at positions 1 to 729 of the family's 1533-position model. The record is from RNAcentral. Lineage: Bacteria; Pseudomonadati; Pseudomonadota; Gammaproteobacteria; Pseudomonadales; Pseudomonadaceae.